GUCAGUAUGUCCGAGUGGUUAAGGAGUUAGACUCGAAUUCUCCAUUCGAGGCAUCUAAUGGGCUUUGCCCGCGCAGGUUCAAAUCCUGCUGCUGACG
Schizosaccharomyces cryophilus OY26 is the source of this 97-nucleotide transfer RNA. It matches the Rfam family "tRNA". Rfam says of the family: Transfer RNA (tRNA) molecules are approximately 80 nucleotides in length. Their secondary structure includes four short double-helical elements and three loops (D, anti-codon, and T loops). Lineage: Eukaryota; Fungi; Ascomycota; Schizosaccharomycetes; Schizosaccharomycetales; Schizosaccharomycetaceae. The record is from Rfam.